RNAcentral lists this small nuclear RNA (18 nucleotides) under Arabidopsis thaliana (thale cress). Its description in RNAcentral is "snRNA_05094". The record is from RNAcentral. Lineage: Eukaryota; Viridiplantae; Streptophyta; Magnoliopsida; Brassicales; Brassicaceae.
CCUUAAGUGUAAGUAGAU